GUUGGAGCGGAUCAAGGAGGCUCAGGUAGAGGGUCUCAAGGAGGAGAGACAAAAGUGUGAAAGGAUCGUGGGCCGAGUAGCCUCGUUUGAUUAUGAUAGUCGUGGUUUGCUGACGCUUCACGGGAGAGUGUGGGUACCGUACUGGGGUGGAGUACGGCAAGUGUUGAUGGAUGAGGCUCAUAAGUCUCGGUUUUCUAUCCACCCAGGGGCGACGAAGAUGUAUCGAGAUCUUCGACCUGAUUACUGGUGGCCCUGCAUGAAGCGGGACGUCGCCUGGUACGUCGAGAGAUGCCUGACCUGCCGGAAGGUCAAGGCGGAGCACCAGAGACCUCACGGCAGGAUGCAGCCGUUAGACAUUCCCGUGUGGAAAUGGGAGGACAUUACCAUGGAUUUUGUCACCAAGCUUCCCCGGACCGCAGGUGGAGUGGAUUCGAUAUGGGUAGUAGUGGAUUGGUUGACGAAGAGUGCCCAUUUUAUCCCGAUCCAGGAGAGUAUAUCGGCGGAGAAGUUAGCCGAUAUCUAUGUGCGUGAGAUUGUGGCACGUCAUGGAGUGCCGGUAUCGGUGGUGUCAGACCGAGAUGUCCGUUUCACAUCCAGAUUCUGGAAGCGGUUCCACGACGAGAUGGGUACUCGUCUCCAUUUCAGCACCGCUUUCCACCCUCAGACAGACGGGCAGAGCGAGAGGACGAUUCAGACUCUCGAGGACAUGCUAAGGGCGUGUGUCCUAGAUUUCGGUGGCAGUUGGGAUACGUAUCUUCCGUUAGCGGAAUUCUCGUAUAACAACAGUUAUCAUGCGAGCAUUGAUCGACCUCCCUUUGAGAUGCUGUAUGGGAGGAAGUGUAGGACCCCGAUUUGUUGGGGCGAGGUCGGUCAGCGGGUCAUCGGGAGCACGGAGGUGGUGCUCAAGACGACUGAGUUGAUCCAGCAGGUCCGUAGUAGACUGCAGACUGCUCAGAGUCGGCAGAAGAGCUACGCCGAUAGGAGGCGUUCGGACUUGGAGUUCCAGGUGGGGGAUAUGGUCCUUCUGAAGGUCUCACCUUGGAAGGGUGUCAUCAGGUUCCGGAAGAGGGGCAAGUUGGGCCCCAGAUUUAUUGGUCCUUUCAGGGUUUUGGCCCGGGUGGGUCGGGUUGCUUAUCGGUUAGAUCUUCCUGAGGAGCUUAGUCAGAUCCACAACACUUUCCAUGUGUCUCAGUUGAGGAAGUGUUUGGUGGAUGAGUCAGCAGUCGUUCCCCUAGAGGAUAUUCAGGUUGAUAGCAGCCUGAAUUAUAUUGAGAGGCCGGUCGCGAUUCUGGACCGGAAGACCAAGACCUUGAGGAACAAGGUAAUUCAGUUAGUGAAGGUGCAGUGGCAGCACCGGAAGGGGUCUGAGUGGACGUGGGAGGCUGAGGAGGAGAUGAGAGAGCACUACCCAGAGAUAUUUGCAGAUUCAGCCGUAGCAGACUUCGAGGACGAAGUCUGAGAUAAGUGGGGGAGAAUUGUAACGACCCGUCUCCGGUAUGAUAAUUCCUUGGUAUUUAUUUUGAAGUUUUGCAAGAGGGACUCGGCGAGUUCAUAGCCUGACUCGCCGAGUAGGGUCGGGAUUUCGAGCACGUGUUAGCUGGCGACUCGGCGAGUCCAUAUUCUGGACUCGGCGAGUCUGUCCGUCUGGGAGAAACCCUAAAUCCCCGGGUUGCCCACUAUUUAAGCCACCUUAUAGCCCCCAAUCUCGCCUCCUUCACCCUCAAAAGCUGUGAGAAAACCCUAAUUCGUUCUUGAGUGAUUCUAAGUGAUUUUGUGUGCUAUUGUGAAGGCUUGAAGAAGGAGAAGAAGAAAGGAGCAAGGAGAAGGAUUGUAGAGCAGAGAUUCAAGGGAAAGCAAGAGCUCUUUGAGGUAUUCUUCAGUUUUCCUUCUCUUUUAUGCCUUAAAACCCUUUCUAGAUCUUGUUAAUGCCUUUCUCAAAGCCUUAUGUUGAUAUGGAAGCUCUCUUAUGCCGAGAUAACCUUAGAUCUGUUCAUUUAGGAGUUGUAGAGCCCAGAUCUAUUGCCUUUAUGGAGCUAUUUUGCAUAUUAACCCUAGAUCUACCCCUUUUAAGCAUCUUUUAGCCUUUAUUCCCUUGUUCAUGUGUUUGUACACGUAAAGUUGGAAACUUUACGUGGUAAAUCAGCUUAUUGGACUCAGAUCUAUCAUUUGUAUGUAUUGGAUUCGAGCAGAAUCGAGUGUAGAAUAGUUGCAUGGCGGUGACUCGGCGAGUCGGAAGAACGACUCGGCGAGUCGAGUCGCGAGUCCCCGAUUUCUUCCUUUUGAGCGGUGUCGAGUGGGACCAGUGAGUAGUGGAGUGGACUCAGCGAGUUUGAGGGUAGACUCAGUAAUGGGGGGACUCGGCGAGUUGUUCAUACAACUCGGCGAGUCCAAGGCAAUCUUCUUAAGCUCAAGAACAACUCGUCGAGUUGUUCAUAGGACUCGGCGAGUCGGAUGAAGAUUGUCUGAAUUCUUGGAUGGGGAGAGUACCUGAAACCCAAAACUGAAACUGUUGACCUUGUCUGAGAGUUGACUUUGACCAAGGGUAAAAGAGUCAUUUUACCCAGUGCAGUGUUUAGUAUUUGAUUGAAUGUGUUUAUGGACUUGUAGCCGGGGAGAUACCGGAGCAGCAGCAGCUAGCUUCCAGAGCCAUACACUCAGCAGCCAGUUCACGAGGUGAGUUUCCCUUCAGUAGGAACGGGUCUACGGCCGCAAUGCCGUCCCGUGUAAUUAUCAGUAGUUCUGGUCUUGAGUCUGAUGCAGUAGCUAGAGUGCUUGAUGUCUUUGUGAUUCAAGCAUAUUCGUGUAUGUGUUCCGGACUUCGGUCCGAUGCAGUAUGCAGUAUGUGUGAUUAUAAUAGUUGUUAUGUGUUAUGCUAUGUCAUGAUCAGUCAGUUCCGGACUUCGGUCCGAUGCAGUUAGUUCCGGACUUCGGUCCGAUGCAGUUAGUUCCGGAUUUCGGUCCGAUGCAGUUAGUUCCGGACUCUGGUCCGAUGCAGGGGACAAGGUCCCAGUCAGUUCCGGACUUCGGUCCGAUGCAGCUAGUUCCAGACCUCGGUCUGAUGCAGUGGGCAAGGCCCAGUAUGUGAUUUAUAUGUAUUGUAUGGUAUGUGGUAGUUUGGGGGAGCUCACUAAGCUUCGUGCUUACAGUUUCAGUUUUGGUUUCAGGUACUUCCGCAUGUAGAGGGAAGAGCUCGGGAUGAUGGCAUCGCACACACCACAGCUUCAGCUUUUAUCCUGGGAGUUGAUUUGGUUCUUGAUUUUUAUAUGACAUGGAUAUGAUACAGUUUUCCGCACAGUGUUUUUAUUAUUAUUUUGAGAUACAUCAUGUAUGGUUUAUGAUAUGACACUCAGAUUAUGGUUUUUGGUUAUGUUGAAAAACGAAAUUUUUGGGUCGUAUUUUUGGGUCGUUUCAAGUUGGUAUCAGAGCCCUGGUUUGAGGGAUUCGGAUACACUUCCGGGUGUAUCUGAACUCAAACUAAGGGGAAAUAAAAAGAUUUUUAAAAGGAAAAUGUUUUCUAAAAGAAUUUUGAAAGCACUUAGAAAGAAAGAAAUUUUUAAACAAGAUAAGGGUGUGGUGCAUGCGAUCAGCCGAGCUCAAGUAAGUACUCCCAAAUUACCCAUACAAGUUAUUUGUUCAGUUUCAGUUUCAGUAGAACAGCAUGCUAGUAUAGGACUAAGGAUCUAGGAGGAUGCCUUAUGUGCCUGCUUUAUGUGUUACAGCUUUAUGAGUAUUGCAUGCUAGUAUUGAGUAGACAGCAGUAGGAUAGCCUGUUUAGGUUAUGCCUGAUAGUAUGAGCUUAGCACUGUAUGCUAGAUCAGUUUCUCGUUUUGAGAAUAGUUUUGCCUGAGUAUGUUUCCUUUAUCCGAAUGCUGCUUGCUUCGUGCUUUGUGGGAGUUCUGAGUGAUGGAAGUUAGCCAUUAGGUGAACACGUUACACCACAUGUGAUCAGGGUUGAAUAAUCCCAGAGUGCUGGAACUGGCCCUAUUGCGCAGCUCUUGUUUGAGUCCAACCGUUAUAGGGACGGGUCUUUUACUUGAAGGAUUAUCUGAUCUUCGUCACAUGUGAUGGUGUUCAGGUGGUGGUUAAUUAGCAUUAUAAGGAGACCUGCAGCAGCUGAGGACUAGUUGAGUUGAGUCUGAGGUUUCCCUGGGGCAAGCCUAGGAUGAGAGUAGCAGAGAUCAGUAGUAGUAGAAGUGACUUGGUGGAGUCAGGGCAGUUCUUGAAGAAAGUACGGAUAGAUGUGGAAGGUAGUAUGGGCCCGUACUACUGGAAGCAGAGGAUCCGUACUCGAAUCAAGAAAGGCUGAGACAAGACCAGGAAGCUAGUUGUAGUAUCAAUGAUCCCUCAAGAUAUUUCUGUUUUCUGAUGUAGUUGUGAUGUGUUUCAGAAUGGUGGUUUUGCGUUCGAGACCAGCAGCCGGCAGCGGAGGUGCCGGGGAGGGAUCAGGUUCAGGCUCGGGGGAUGAGCGCAUGGAUGAGCAGACCCGAGAGUUUCUUUCUUCGGAGAUUACGCGCAUCAUUAUAGAGCAGACUCCUGUGAUCUUCGGUUCGAUCAAGGAGGGGAUUCUAGAGCUGAUGGAUGAGAGAUUGGGCACCUUCCGUGCCGAGGUGGCGGCCAUGAUGGGGUCGCGCACCCUUACUUUCAGGGAGUUCAGGGCAUGUGGAGCUCCGGACUAUCAUGGGGCGCGAGACCCCAUAGCGAGCACCAGAUGGUUGGCGGAUGUGGCCAACGCUUUCCGUACUAGCAGAUGUCCCGAGGGGGACAAGGUCAGAUUGGCGUCCUGUCUUCUGAAGGACAGGGCACGAGAUUGGUGGGAGGAGGUCGGGCAUGCCAUUGGGGAUGAUGCAGCAUUGGACGCCAUGACCUGGGCUGAUUUCUCUACCAGGUUCAGGGCGGAGUUUGCACCGGUCAUUGAGGUGCAACAGCUAGCUAGGGAGUUUCAGGACCUCACCCAGACUACAGAGACAGUGGCGGAGAUCACCGCCAAGUUCAGGGAGAGGGCUCUUCUCGUUCCUCAGUAUGUAGCUGAUGAGGAAAUGAAGAAGGCCCGUUAUCAUGAGAUGUUGCGGAGCGAUAUCCGCCAGUUUGUGAGCCGGUCCAGCUGUAAAACGCUGGAAGAUAUGAUUGCUAGGGCUCGGGAGAGGGAGAUUGAUCUCGAGAUGGAGAAGAAGAGGAAACCGGAGGCGGUUUCGGGUUCAGGCGGUUCGGGCAAAAAGCCCAAGGUUUCGGAUCACAGAUCUAGGAGUCAGCAGAGCCACGGUCGAUGUGGCAAGUGUGGGAGAUUGCACGAGGGAGCGUGCAAGGCAGGGAGUUCCGGCUGCUACAAGUGCGGUCGGAUUGGGCAUUUGAGUAGGGAUUGUACGGCCCCUGCUACUGCCGUCGCAGCAUCAGAUCUGAUUUGCUUUCAGUGCAAUCAGAGGGGACAUAAAAAGUCCCAGUGUCCGAGUUUAGCUUCAGCAGGGAAGGUGGCUGCACCUGCCCCUGCUACCUUGAGGAUUACAGAUGGCCGGCAGGGCCGAGCUGAUGCGCCAGUGGCGAAGAGUAGGGCGUUUCAGAUGACAGCAGAGGAGGCGCGAGCGACUCCUGAUGUGGUGACGGGUAUGUAUCUUCCCUUUAUCUCUUUAUUAUUAUUGAUUGAAUAUUGCUUAUGAUUGUAUGUUUUAUUCAGGGUCGUUCUCUGUGAACGGCAUUUCUGCUUUGGUAUUAUUCGAUUCGGGGGCUACCCGAUCAUUCGUAUCACUUGCGCUUAGCAAGAGAUUCAGUAGAGCUCCAGGGGAGCUGGAUUGUCCAUUAGAGGUUGAGAUAGCGGAUGAUAGGACCGUGAGGGUCGGCAGAGUGCACAGAGGGUGUUCUCUUCAGUUAUUUGAUGAGCAGUUUUCAGUGGAUCUGGUACCUAUUCCCCUGCGAGGGAAUAAGGUUAUUGUGGGUAUGGAUUGGCUAAGCCCCAAUGGGGCGGUGAUUGAUUGUGAGCUUCAGCUAGUGAGGGUUCGCACUCCCAGUGGGGGAGAGUUGGUGAUUCAGGGCGAGAGGCCACAGCGAGGACCGACCUUUUGUUCCGCCGCAAGGGCGAGGCGCUAUGUUCAGCAGGGUUGCGCCGGUUUUGUAGCUUACGUUUUGGAUGCCCGGGAGAAGGGCAAGUCGACAGUUGAUGAUGUUCCUAUUGUUCGAGACUACCCGGACGUGUUUCCCGAGGAUUUGCCGGGGAUACCUCCUGAGAGACAGGUUGAGUUCAGGAUCGACCUCAUUCCUGGUGCGGCUCCGAUAGCCAAGGCACCGUAUCGACUAGCUCCCCCUGAGAUGCAGGAGUUGUCUACACAGCUGCAGGAGCUGUUAGACAAGGGUUUCAUUCGGCCGAGCAGUUCGCCUUGGGGAGCGCCGAUCCUGUUUGUGAGGAAGAAGGAUGGGUCGCAUCGUAUGUGUAUAGAUUAUCGGGAGUUGAAUAAGGUAACGGUGAAGAACCGUUACCCACUCCCGAGGAUAGAUGAUUUGUUUGAUCAGCUUCAGGGAGCGUCUUGGUUCUCCAAGAUCGAUCUACGCUCCGGAUAUCAUCAGAUGCGGGUUAGAGAUGAGGAUGUACAGAAGACUGCUUUCAGGACCAGGUAUGGUCAUUACGAGUUUGUGGUGAUGCCAUUUGGGCUCACCAAUGCUCCAGCCGCGUUCAUGGAUCUCAUGAACCGCGUGUGUAGGCCGAUGCUGGAUCGGUCAGUGAUAGUGUUCAUAGAUGACAUCUUGGUAUAUUCCAAGACGCAGGAGCAGCACGAGGAGCACCUGCGGGAGGUGCUGGAGGUUUUGAGGAGGGAGAGACUUUUCGCAAAGUUCUCCAAAUGUGAGUUCUGGUUGCGCGAGGUGCAGUUCCUUGGUCACCUCGUCAACCAGAAGGGUAUUCUGGUAGAUCCGGCCAAGAUAGAGGCCGUGAUGCAGUGGGAGGUCCCGAAGUCUCCAUCUGAGAUUCGGAGCUUCCUAGGGUUGGCAGGGUAUUAUCGGAGAUUUAUUCAGGAUUUCUCCAAGAUAGCAGUGCCGCUCACCCGACUGACCAAGAAGUCAGUGGUAUUUCGUUGGGGUCCGGAGCAGCAGACAGCAUUCGAGACCCUCAGGCAGAGAUUGUGCGAGGCUCCGAUCCUUACCUUGCCAGAGGGAGUAGAGGACUUUGUAGUCUAUUGUGAUGCCUCGAUCACAGGUUUGGGAGCAGUUCUGAUGCAGCGAGGCCAUGUGAUAGCUUAUGCCUCGAGACAGUUGAAGCCUCACGAGGCUAAUUAUCCUACCCAUGAUUUGGAGCUGGGGGCAGUUGUGUUUGCCCUCAAGAUUUGGAGGCAUUACCUUUAUGGGGUUCGUUGUACUAUUUACACGGAUCACAAGAGUUUGAGAUAUCUUAUGGAUCAGCCGAGUCUGAAUAUAAGGUAGAGGAGGUGGUUGGAUGUGCUAAAGGAUUACGACUGUGAGAUCCUAUACCAUCCAGGGAAGGCCAAUAUGGUGGCUGAUGCCCUGAGCCGCAAGGUGUCGGCGGCCCCUAUCAGGGAUCUAUGUUUGAGGAUGACAGUGAUCACUCCGUUGUUGGAGCGGAUCAAGGAGGCUCAGGUAGAGGGUCUCAAGGAGGAGAGACAGAAGUGUGAGAGGAUCGUGGGCCGAGUAGCCUCGUUUGAUUAUGAUAGUCGUGGUUUGCUGACGCUUCACGGGAGAGUGUGGGUACCGUACUGGGGUGGAGUACGGCAAGUGUUGAUGGAUGAGGCUCAUAAGUCUCGGUUUUCUAUCCACCCAGGGGCGACGAAGAUGUAUCGAGAUCUUCGACCUGAUUAUUGGUGGCCCUGCAUGAAGCGGGACGUCGCCUGGUACGUCGAGAGAUGCCUGACCUGCCGGAAGGUCAAGGCGGAGCACCAGAGACCUCACGGCAGGAUGCAGCCGUUAGACAUUCCCGUGUGGAAAUGGGAGGACAUUACCAUGGAUUUUGUCACCAAGCUUCCCCGGACCGCACGUGGAGUGGAUUCGAUAUGGGUAGUAGUGGAUCGGUUGACGAAGAGUGCCCAUUUUAUCCCGAUCCAGGAGAGUAUAUCGGCGGAGAAGUUAGCCGAUAUCUAUGUGCGAGAGAUUGUGGCACGUCAUGGAGUGCCGGUAUCGGUGGUGUCAGACCGAGAUGUCCGUUUCACAUCCAGGUUCUGGAAGCGGUUCCACGACGAGAUGGGUACUCGUCUCCAUUUCAGCACCGCUUUCCACCCUCAGACAGACGGGCAGAGCGAGAGGACGAUUCAGACUCUCGAGGACAUGCUUAGGGCAUGUGUUCUAGAUUUCGGUGGCAGUUGGGAUACGUAUCUUCCGUUAGCGGAAUUCUCGUAUAACAACAGUUAUCAUGCGAGCAUUGAUCGACCUCCCUUUGAGAUGCUGUAUGGGAGGAAGUGUAGGACCCCGAUUUGUUGGGGCGAGGUCGGUCAGCGGGUCAUCGGGAGCACGGAGGUGGUGCUCAAGACGACUGAGUUGAUCCAGCAGGUCCGUAGUAGACUGCAGACUGCUCAGAGUCGGCAGAAGAGCUACGCCGAUAGGAGGCGUUCGGACUUGGAGUUCCAGGUGGGGGAUAUGGUCCUUCUGAAGGUCUCACCUUGGAAGGGUGUCAUCAGGUUCCGGAAGAGGGGCAAGUUGGGCCCCAGAUUUAUUGGUCCUUUCAGGGUUUUGGCCCGGGUGGGUCGGGUUGCUUAUCGGUUAGAUCUUCCUGAGGAGCUUAGUCAGAUCCACAACACUUUCC
Molecule: long non-coding RNA, 8731 nt
Filed under: Lactuca sativa (garden lettuce)
Lineage: Eukaryota; Viridiplantae; Streptophyta; Magnoliopsida; Asterales; Asteraceae
Description: long non-coding RNA (LSAT_LNC006764)
Source: RNAcentral